RNAcentral lists this transfer RNA (76 nucleotides) under Campylobacter mucosalis. RNAcentral describes it as "tRNA-Thr". It matches the Rfam family "tRNA". From Rfam's summary of the family: Transfer RNA (tRNA) molecules are approximately 80 nucleotides in length. RNAcentral also lists the same sequence under 6 other names. Lineage: Bacteria; Pseudomonadati; Campylobacterota; Epsilonproteobacteria; Campylobacterales; Campylobacteraceae. The record is from RNAcentral.
GCUGGUGUAGCUCAGAUGGUAGAGCUACUGCCUUGUAAGCAGUAGGUCGGCGGUUCGAUUCCGUUCACCAGCUCCA